GAUGAACGCUGGCGGCGUGCCUAAUACAUGCAAGUCGAGCGAACGGACGAGAAGCUUGCUUCUCUGAUGUUAGCGGCGGACGGGUGAGUAACACGUGGAUAACCUACCUAUAAGACUGGGAUAACUUCGGGAAACCGGAGCUAAUACCGGAUAAUAUUUUGAACCGCAUGGUUCAAAAGUGAAAGACGGUCUUGCUGUCACUUAUAGAUGGAUCCGCGCUGCAUUAGCUAGUUGGUAAGGUAACGGCUUACCAAGGCAACGAUGCAUAGCCGACCUGAGAGGGUGAUCGGCCACACUGGAAAUGAGACACGGUCCAGACUCCUACGGGAGGAAGCAGUAGGGAAUCUUCCGCAAUGGGCGAAAGCCUGACGGAGCAACGCCGCGUGAGUGAUGAAGGUCUUCGGAUCGUAAAACUCUGUUAUUAGGGAAGAACAUAUGUGUAAGUAACUGUGCACAUCUUGACGGUACCUAAUCAGAAAGCCACGGCUAACUACGUG
This 497-nucleotide ribosomal RNA is filed under the name uncultured bacterium. Its description in RNAcentral is "partial 16S ribosomal RNA". It matches the Rfam family "Bacterial small subunit ribosomal RNA", at positions 28 to 507 of the family's 1533-position model. The record is from RNAcentral.